AGGAGAAUAGUUAAAAAUAACAUUUAUAUUGCAAGUAAAAAGUACCUAUAGGUUUCUCUUA
RNAcentral lists this transfer RNA (61 nucleotides) under Ugyops sp. APL-2018. Its description in RNAcentral is "tRNA-Ala". Lineage: Eukaryota; Metazoa; Arthropoda; Insecta; Hemiptera; Delphacidae. The record is from RNAcentral.